CCUACGGGGGGCAGCAGUGAGGAAUAUUGGUCAAUGGACGAGAGUCUGAACCAGCCAAGUAGCGUGAAGGAUGACUGCCCUAUGGGUUGUAAACUUCUUUUAUAUGGGAAUAAAAUGUUCCACGUGUGGGAUUUUGUAUGUACCAUAUGAAUAAGGAUCGGCUAACUCCGUGCCAGCAGCCGCGGUAAUUCGGAGGAUCCGAGCGUUAUCCGGAUUUAUUGGGUUUAAAGGGAGCGUAGGUGGAUUGUUAAGUCAGUUGUGAAAGUUUGCGGCUCAACCGUAAAAUUGCAGUUGAAACUGGCAGUCUUGAGUACAGUAGAGGUGGGCGGAAUUCGUGGUGUAGCGGUGAAAUGCUUAGAUAUCACGAAGAACUCCGAUUGCGAAGGCAGUUCACUGGACUGCAACUGACACUGAGGCUCGAAAGUGUGGGUAUCAAACAGGAUUAGAUACCCUUGUAGUC
RNAcentral lists this ribosomal RNA (460 nucleotides) under uncultured bacterium. RNAcentral's name for it is "partial 16S ribosomal RNA". It matches the Rfam family "Bacterial small subunit ribosomal RNA", at positions 338 to 795 of the family's 1533-position model. The record is from RNAcentral.